GGCCGGAUGACGGAAUGGCAGACGUAUGGGAUUUAAAAUCCCUUGUCCGCAAGGACGUGCGGGUUCGAGUCCCGCUCCGGCCACCA
RNAcentral lists this transfer RNA (86 nucleotides) under Planctomycetota bacterium. Its description in RNAcentral is "Planctomycetes bacterium (gut metagenome) tRNA-Leu". It matches the Rfam family "tRNA". From Rfam's summary of the family: Transfer RNA (tRNA) molecules are approximately 80 nucleotides in length. Their secondary structure includes four short double-helical elements and three loops (D, anti-codon, and T loops). Further hydrogen bonds mediate the characteristic L-shaped molecular structure. tRNAs have two regions of fundamental functional importance: the anti-codon, which is responsible for specific mRNA codon recognition, and the 3' end, to which the tRNAs corresponding amino acid is attached (by aminoacyl-tRNA synthetases). tRNAs cope with the degeneracy of the genetic code in two manners: having more than one tRNA (with a specific anti-codon) for a particular amino acid; and 'wobble' base-pairing, i.e. permitting non-standard base-pairing at the 3rd anti-codon position. The record is from RNAcentral. Lineage: Bacteria; Pseudomonadati; Planctomycetota.